Molecule: ribosomal RNA, 406 nt
Filed under: uncultured bacterium
Lineage: Bacteria
Description: partial 16S ribosomal RNA
Rfam family: Bacterial small subunit ribosomal RNA
Source: RNAcentral
AAUACUGCGCAAUGGAGGGAACUCUGAAGCAGCGACGCAGCGUGAGUGAAGAAGGUCUACGGACCGUAAAGCUGUGUCCUUGGGGAAGAAGGUCUUUGGACUUGACGGUACUUAAGGAGGAAGCCCAGGCUAGCUACGUGCCAGCAGACGCGGUAAUACGUAGGGGGCAAGCGUUGUCCGGAACUAUUGGGCGUAAAGGGUGCGUAGGGGGCCUUUUAAGUCAGAUGUGAAAGCCCACGGCUUAACCGUGGGACUGCAUUUGAAACUGGAGGGCUUGAGUAUCGGAGAGGGUAGUGGAAUUCCCAGUGUAGCGGUGGAAUGCGUAGAUAUUGGGAGGAACACCAGUGGCGAAGGCGACUACCUGGACGAAAACUGACGCUGAGGCACGAAAGCUAGGGGAGCAAAC